Molecule: small nucleolar RNA, 132 nt
Organism: Mastomys coucha (southern multimammate mouse)
Lineage: Eukaryota; Metazoa; Chordata; Mammalia; Rodentia; Muridae
Product: small nucleolar RNA SNORA17
Exons: 1
Source: RefSeq, a predicted model, not a curated record
ACUGCCCCCUAGAUGCAUCACAGGCAUGGCUGCUGUGUCACAUGUGUAUCAGUAUGUGGCAGAAAGGAAAGAUGAUAUUUCCAUGCUCAGUAUCUGACCUGUGAACAUCUGAAUAAUUAGUAGCCUAACAUU